Molecule: long non-coding RNA, 577 nt
Filed under: Sus scrofa (pig)
Lineage: Eukaryota; Metazoa; Chordata; Mammalia; Artiodactyla; Suidae
Description: lncRNA (ENSSSCG00035050086.1)
Source: RNAcentral
GGGUGUGGUGGUGAGGAGGAGAGAAGAAUAAAGAUGGUUGCAAGGCUGCAGCCUGGGUGGAUGGCAGUGCCAUUUGCUGGGGGCGAGGAAGGCUCGGAGGAAGCCGACUGGGAGGAAAGGAACACAGGCACACACGCUCUAUCUUGGACAUUUUGAGUUGGAGGUGAUGUCAGCGCAGCAUUUGGAGGUGAUGUCAGAGAAGCAUUUGGAUACAGAGGUCUGGGCUAGAAACGCAAGUGUGGGAGCUCUCAGCACAGAGAUGGAACCCUGGGUGAGGGCAGCCCAGCCAGGAUGCUGAUGAAAUGCUUCUACUCAAUGAACCGGUGACAGGUUGAGCAUGUGUGAGAGCUGUCUGGUUACUCCUUCAUUCUCCAUGGGAUCUCCCCUGGGUCAUAUGCCACUGGAAUCUUGUCUGGACUGUGAUGCUGUGGCCCACUCAUUACUCCACACAAUGAAACCAGGACGCUUUUGGCUGCAUCUCACACUGCUUGGAGCCUCCCUGCCUGCUGCUUUGGGAUGGAUGAGCCCAGGAACCAGCAGAGGACUGAACACGGGUGGGGGAGAGUCCCCGGCAGAG